GAGGGUACAGCUCAGUGGCAGAGUGUGUGCUUAGCAUGCACAAGGUCCUGGGUUCAAUUCCCAGUACCUCCA
Molecule: transfer RNA, 72 nt
Filed under: Camelus bactrianus (Bactrian camel)
Lineage: Eukaryota; Metazoa; Chordata; Mammalia; Artiodactyla; Camelidae
Also listed under: 2 other names
Rfam family: tRNA
About the family: Transfer RNA (tRNA) molecules are approximately 80 nucleotides in length. Their secondary structure includes four short double-helical elements and three loops (D, anti-codon, and T loops). Further hydrogen bonds mediate the characteristic L-shaped molecular structure. tRNAs have two regions of fundamental functional importance: the anti-codon, which is responsible for specific mRNA codon recognition, and the 3' end, to which the tRNAs corresponding amino acid is attached (by aminoacyl-tRNA synthetases). tRNAs cope with the degeneracy of the genetic code in two manners: having more than one tRNA (with a specific anti-codon) for a particular amino acid; and 'wobble' base-pairing, i.e. permitting non-standard base-pairing at the 3rd anti-codon position.
Source: Rfam by way of RNAcentral